UACGAAGGUCCCAAGCGUUAUCCGGAUUUAUUGGGUUUAAAGGGUGCGUAGGCGGGCUAUUAAGUCAGUGGUGAAAGCCCCAAACUUAACUUGGGAACUGCCAUUGAUACUGAUGGUCUUGAGUACAUUUGAGGUGGGCGGAAUGUGUCAUGUAGCGGUGAAAUGCUUAGAUAUGACACAGAACACCGAUUGCGAAGGCAGCUCACUAAACUGUAACUGACGCUGAGGCACGAAAGCGUGGGGAGCAAACAGG
Molecule: ribosomal RNA, 253 nt
Filed under: uncultured bacterium
Lineage: Bacteria
Description: partial 16S ribosomal RNA
Rfam family: Bacterial small subunit ribosomal RNA
Source: RNAcentral